Molecule: small nuclear RNA, 119 nt
Filed under: Schizophyllum commune H4-8
Lineage: Eukaryota; Fungi; Basidiomycota; Agaricomycetes; Agaricales; Schizophyllaceae
Description: U4 spliceosomal RNA
Rfam family: U4 spliceosomal RNA
About the family: U4 small nuclear RNA (U4 snRNA) is a component of the major U2-dependent spliceosome. The structure of U4 snRNA from yeast and human has been reported.
Source: Rfam by way of RNAcentral
AUCUUUGUGCUCGGGCAUGUACGCUCACCAGUGAAGUUCCGACUGAGGUAGCGUCUUUUGCUGAUUGCAAAUUAAUUUCCGACCCGUCUGGUUGCUUCGGCUUCCAGCAAUUUUUGGAA